AUUGAACGCUGGCGGCAUGCUUUACACAUGCAAGUCGAACGGUAACAGGCCUUCGGGUGCUGACGAGUGGCGAACGGGUGAGUAAUGCAUCGGAACGUGCCCAGAGGUGGGGGAUAACGCAGCGAAAGCUGUGCUAAUACCGCAUGUGAUCUGAGGAUGAAAGCGGGGGACCAAGCAGCAAUGUUUGGCCUCGCGCCUCUGGAGCGGCCGAUGUCAGAUUAGGUAGUUGGUGGGGUAAAGGCCUACCAAGCCGACGAUCUGUAGCUGGUCUGAGAGGACGACCAGCCACACUGGGACUGAGACACGGCCCAGACUCCUACGGGAGGCAGCAGUGGGGAAUUUUGGACAAUGGGCGCAAGCCUGAUCCAGCAAUGCCGCGUGCGGGAAGAAGGCCUUCGGGUUGUAAACCGCUUUUGUACGGAACGAAAAGGCUCUGGUUAAUACCUGGGGCUGAUGACGGUACCAUAAGAAUAAGCACCGGCUAACUACGUG
This 492-nucleotide ribosomal RNA is filed under the name uncultured bacterium. Its description in RNAcentral is "partial 16S ribosomal RNA". It matches the Rfam family "Bacterial small subunit ribosomal RNA", at positions 30 to 507 of the family's 1533-position model. The record is from RNAcentral.